This 450-nucleotide ribosomal RNA is filed under the name uncultured bacterium. Its description in RNAcentral is "partial 16S ribosomal RNA". It matches the Rfam family "Bacterial small subunit ribosomal RNA", at positions 338 to 795 of the family's 1533-position model. The record is from RNAcentral.
CCUACGGGAGGCUGCAGUGAGGAAUAUUGGUCAAUGGGCGCAAGCCUGAACCAGCCAUCCCGCGUGCAGGAAGACGGCCCUAUGGGUUGUAAACUGCUUUUCCAGGGGACGAAUAGUUUCUACGUGUAGAGACCUGACGGUACCUUGUGAAUAAGCAUCGGCUAACUCCGUGCCAGCAGCCGCGGUAAUACGGAGGAUGCAAGCGUUAUCCGGUUUCAUUGGGUUUAAGGGGGGCUAAUACGUCUGCGGUGAAAUCCUACAGCUUAACUGUAGAACUGCCAUUGAUACUGUUAGUCUUGAGUUUGGUUAAGGUAGGCGGAAUGUGUAAUGUAGCGGUGAAAUGCUUAGAUAUUACACAGAACACCAAUUGCGAAGGCAGCUUACUGGACCGACACUGACGCUGAGGCACGAAAGCGUGGGGAUCGAACAGGAUUAGAUACCCUAGUAGUC